Molecule: ribosomal RNA, 253 nt
Filed under: uncultured bacterium
Lineage: Bacteria
Description: partial 16S ribosomal RNA
Rfam family: Bacterial small subunit ribosomal RNA
Source: RNAcentral
UACGAAGGGGGCUAGCGUUGCUCGGAAUUACUGGGCGUAAAGGGCGCGUAGGCGGCCCGCUAAGUCGAACGUGAAAUCCCCAGGCUCAACCUGGGAACUGCGUCCGAUACUGGCAGGCUUGAAUCCGGGAGAGGGAUGUGGAAUUCCAGGUGUAGCGGUGAAAUGCGUAGAUAUCUGGAGGAACACCGGUGGCGAAGGCGGCAUCCUGGACCGGCAUUGACGCUGAGGCGCGAAAGCUAGGGGAGCAAACGGG